RNAcentral lists this ribosomal RNA (521 nucleotides) under uncultured Gammaproteobacteria bacterium. RNAcentral's name for it is "bacterial SSU rRNA". It matches the Rfam family "Bacterial small subunit ribosomal RNA", at positions 53 to 564 of the family's 1533-position model. Lineage: Bacteria; Pseudomonadati; Pseudomonadota; Gammaproteobacteria. The record is from RNAcentral.
ACAUGCAAGUCGAACGGCAGCGCGGGGAGCUUGCUCCCUGGCGGCGAGUGGCGGACGGGUGAGUAACGCGUGGGAAUCUGCCCAGUAGUGGGGGACAACCCGAGGAAACUCGGGCUAAUACCGCAUACGCCCUACGGGGGAAAGCAGGGGAUCUUCGGACCUUGCGCUAAUGGAUGAGCCCGCGUCGGAUUAGCUUGUUGAUGAGGUAACGGCUCACCAAGGCGACGAUCCGUAGCUGGUCUGAGAGGACGAUCAGCCACACUGGGACUGAGACACGGCCCAGACUCCUACGGGAGGCAGCAGUGGGGAAUAUUGGACAAUGGGCGCAAGCCUGAUCCAGCAAUGCCGCGUGUGUGAAGAAGCCCUAGGGUUGUAAAGCACUUUCAGUUGGGAAGAAACGCAGAGGGUUAAUACCCCUCUGUAAUGACGUUACCGACAGAAGAAGCACCGGCUAACUUCCGUGCCAGCAGCCCGCGGUAAUACGGAGGGUGCAAGCGUUAAUCGGAAUUACUGGGCGUAAA